CCUACGGGAGGCAGCAGUGGGGGAUAUUGCACAAUGGGGGGAACCCUGAUGCAGCGACGCCGCGUGGGUGAAGAAGCGCCUCGGCGCGUAAAGCCCUGUCAGCAGGGAAGAAAAUGACGGUACCUGAAGAAGAAGCCCCGGCUAACUACGUGCCAGCGGCCGCGGGAAUACGUAGGGGGCAAGCGUUAUCCGGAUUUACUGGGUGUAAAGGGGGCGCAGACGGCGAUGCAAGCCAGGAGUGAAAGCCCGGGGCCCAACCCCGGGACUGCUCUGGGAACUGCGUGGCUGGAGUGCAGGAGGGGCAGGCGGAAUUCCUGGUGUAGCGGUGAAAUGCGUAGAUAUCAGGAGGAACACCGGUGGCGAAGGCGGCCUGCUGGACUGCAACUGACGUUGAGGCCCGAAAGCGUGGGGAGCAAACAGGAUUAGAUACCCCAGUAGUC
This 440-nucleotide ribosomal RNA is filed under the name uncultured bacterium. Its description in RNAcentral is "partial 16S ribosomal RNA". It matches the Rfam family "Bacterial small subunit ribosomal RNA", at positions 338 to 795 of the family's 1533-position model. The record is from RNAcentral.